Molecule: ribosomal RNA, 492 nt
Filed under: uncultured bacterium
Lineage: Bacteria
Description: partial 16S ribosomal RNA
Rfam family: Bacterial small subunit ribosomal RNA
Source: RNAcentral
AGUGAACGCUGGCGGUAGGCCUAACACAUGCCAGUCGAACGGCAGCACAGUAAGAGCUUGCUCUUACGGGUGGCGAGUGGCGGACGGGUGAGGGAUACAUCGGAAUCUACUUUUUCGUGGGGGAUAACGUAGGGAAACUUACGCUAAUACCGCAUACGACCUACGGGUGAAAGCAGGGGAUCUUCGGACCUUGCGCGAUUGAAUGAGCCGAUGUCGGAUUAGCUAGUUGGCGGGGUAAAGGCCCACCAAGGCGACGAUCCGUAGCUGGUCUGAGAGGAUGAUCAGCCACACUGGAACUGAGACACGGUCCAGACUCCUACGGGAGGCAGCAGUGGGGAAUAUUGGACAAUGGGCGCAAGCCUGAUCCAGCCAUACCGCGUGGGUGAAGAAGGCCUUCGGGUUGUAAAGCCCUUUUGUUGGGAAAGAAAGGCAGCAGGUUAAUACCCCGCUGUUCUGACGGUACCCAAAGAAUAAGCACCGGCUAACUUCGUG